This 253-nucleotide ribosomal RNA is filed under the name uncultured bacterium. Its description in RNAcentral is "partial 16S ribosomal RNA". It matches the Rfam family "Bacterial small subunit ribosomal RNA", at positions 524 to 776 of the family's 1533-position model. The record is from RNAcentral.
GACAGAGGGUGCAAACGUUGUUCGGAGUUACUGGGCGUAAAGCGCGUGUAGGCGGCGGUGCAAGUCGGGUGUGAAAGCCCUGGGCUCAACCCAGGAAGUGCAUUCGAUACUGCGCUGCUAGAGUCCCGGAGAGGAUGGUAGAACUCUCGGUGUAGAGGUGAAAUUCGUAGAUAUCGAGAAGAACACCGGUGGCGAAGGCGGCCAUCUGGACGGUGACUGACGCUGAGACGCGAAAGCGUGGGGAGCAAACAGG